This 1463-nucleotide ribosomal RNA is filed under the name uncultured Klebsiella sp. Its description in RNAcentral is "bacterial SSU rRNA". It matches the Rfam family "Bacterial small subunit ribosomal RNA". The record is from RNAcentral. Lineage: Bacteria; Pseudomonadati; Pseudomonadota; Gammaproteobacteria; Enterobacterales; Enterobacteriaceae.
AUUGAACGCUGGCGGCAGGCCUAACACAUGCAAGUCGAGCGGUAGCACAGAGAGCUUGCUCUCGGGUGACGAGCGGCGGACGGGUGAGUAAUGUCUGGGAAACUGCCUGAUGGAGGGGGAUAACUACUGGAAACGGUAGCUAAUACCGCAUAACGUCGCAAGACCAAAGUGGGGGGCCUUCGGGCCUCAUGCCAUCAGAUGUGCCCAGAUGGGAUUAGCUAGUAGGUGGGGUAACGGCUCACCUAGGCGACGAUCCCUAGCUGGUCUGAGAGGAUGACCAGCCACACUGGAACUGAGACACGGUCCAGACUCCUACGGGAGGCAGCAGUGGGGAAUAUUGCACAAUGGGCGCAAGCCUGAUGCAGCCAUGCCGCGUGUGUGAAGAAGGCCUUCGGGUUGUAAAGCACUUUCAGCGGGGAGGAAGGCGAUAAGGUUAAUAACCUCAUCGAUUGACGUUACCCGCAGAAGAAGCACCGGCUAACUCCGUGCCAGCAGCCGCGGUAAUACGGAGGGUGCAAGCGUUAAUCGGAAUUACUGGGCGUAAAGCGCACGCAGGCGGUCUGUCAAGUCGGAUGUGAAAUCCCCGGGCUCAACCUGGGAACUGCAUUCGAAACUGGUAGGCUAGAGUCUUGUAGAGGGGGGUAGAAUUCCAGGUGUAGCGGUGAAAUGCGUAGAGAUCUGGAGGAAUACCGGUGGCGAAGGCGGCCCCCUGGACAAAGACUGACGCUCAGGUGCGAAAGCGUGGGGAGCAAACAGGAUUAGAUACCCUGGUAGUCCACGCCGUAAACGAUGUCGAUUUGGAGGUUGUGCCCUUGAGGCGUGGCUUCCGGAGCUAACGCGUUAAAUCGACCGCCUGGGGAGUACGGCCGCAAGGUUAAAACUCAAAUGAAUUGACGGGGGCCCGCACAAGCGGUGGAGCAUGUGGUUUAAUUCGAUGCAACGCGAAGAACCUUACCUGGUCUUGACAUCCACAGAACUUUCCAGAGAUGGAUUGGUGCCUUCGGGAACUGUGAGACAGGUGCUGCAUGGCUGUCGUCAGCUCGUGUUGUGAAAUGUUGGGUUAAGUCCCGCGACGAGCGCAACCCUUAUCCUUUGUUGCCAGCGGUUCGGCCGGGAACUCAAAGGAGACUGCCAGUGAUAAACUGGAGGAAGGUGGGGAUGACGUCAAGUCAUCAUGGCCCUUACGACCAGGGCUACACACGUGCUACAAUGGCAUAUACAAAGAGAAGCGACCUCGCGAGAGCAAGCGGACCUCAUAAAGUAUGUCGUAGUCCGGAUUGGAGUCUGCAACUCGACUCCAUGAAGUCGGAAUCGCUAGUAAUCGUAGAUCAGAAUGCUACGGUGAAUACGUUCCCGGGCCUUGUACACACCGCCCGUCACACCAUGGGAGUGGGUUGCAAAAGAAGUAGGUAGCUUAACCUUCGGGUGGGCGCUUACCACUUUGUGAUUCAUGACUGGGGUGA